UCUUAAAUCAUUGAAUCAAUGGUUCUUGAGAUAACGUAAGGGAUAAAAAUGAUAGUACCUUACUAUAAGUGUUGUCCAACAAUACUGGUGCCAGAAGACUCGGUAACGCCAGAAACGCAAACGUUAGUCGUCCUAAUCAGGCGUAAAGGGUAAGUAGGCUGCUUUGAAAGUUAUUACUUAGAAAGCUCUUUAAAAAUUUUUUAAAGGUAAUUAAUAAUGAAUUAAAGCUAGAAUCAAAUAGGGGAUAAGCCAAAUAAUAUUUAGUGUAAGGCUAAUAUCUUUAGAUACUAAAUGGAAUACUAAGGUGAAAACUUUUAUCUACUAAUGAUUGACGCUGAGGAACGAAGGUGAGAAUAGAAAACAGGAUUAGAGACCCAGGUAUCUCUCACUGUCAACGAUGAAUGGUAGUUGUUAGUUAAACUUAACUAGUAACGAUGUUAACGCGUUAACCAUUCCGCCUUGCGAGUAC
This 469-nucleotide ribosomal RNA is filed under the name Lepiota sp. RNAcentral's name for it is "SSU rRNA". It matches the Rfam family "Bacterial small subunit ribosomal RNA", at positions 423 to 883 of the family's 1533-position model. The record is from RNAcentral. Lineage: Eukaryota; Fungi; Basidiomycota; Agaricomycetes; Agaricales; Agaricaceae.